This 425-nucleotide long non-coding RNA is filed under the name Equus asinus (donkey). Its description in RNAcentral is "lncRNA (ENSEASG00005036185.1)". The record is from RNAcentral. Lineage: Eukaryota; Metazoa; Chordata; Mammalia; Perissodactyla; Equidae.
CUAGAAUGCUCUAGGGUAAGGGAGAGUCAGAGCAGAAACUCAAGCCUCUCUGACCUCAAAGUCCAUGCUCUUGGUGGAGUAGCUCCCAUUGGACCAGCCCUCUCACAGGUAAUUAUAAAUGAAGGAUAAAAAAUAAAUAUACAUAUAAAAACUAUGUGAAGAUGAUGGAGAGUGACCUAAGCAGCCAAAUCUGGAGAGGAGUUGACACUUGGAAGAAUGGAAAGGCAUUGAGUCUGUGGAUUCAUAAAAUUUGUGCUGCAGCUUCAUCUUUCAAGGCAAAAGACACAAGUAAUCGGGGAGCCGUGCUUCUGAGAGUUUCCAUGAACCAGGGAGGAAGAUGCCAAUUUAUAUUGUUAAGGUCAAUUCCUCCUAGCUUGUCAUCAUUUUCUUGGCCACACUAUAAAUGUCCUCCGUUUAUCAAUGCC